This 68-nucleotide transfer RNA is filed under the name Loxodonta africana (African savanna elephant). It matches the Rfam family "tRNA". Rfam says of the family: Transfer RNA (tRNA) molecules are approximately 80 nucleotides in length. Their secondary structure includes four short double-helical elements and three loops (D, anti-codon, and T loops). The record is from Rfam by way of RNAcentral. Lineage: Eukaryota; Metazoa; Chordata; Mammalia; Proboscidea; Elephantidae.
ACACUGGUGAUUCAGCAGAAAACUUGUCUUUCAUGCAGGAGACCUGGGUUCGAUUCCCAGCCAAUGCA